This 27-nucleotide non-coding RNA is filed under the name Mus musculus (house mouse). The record is from RNAcentral. Lineage: Eukaryota; Metazoa; Chordata; Mammalia; Rodentia; Muridae.
UUUCUUGACCCAAGGCAGAAGUGUGGA